This is an RNA transcript of Sardina pilchardus (European sardine), 8435 nucleotides long. It is a transcript of the gene named aminoadipate-semialdehyde synthase, with no coding region annotated. The record is from RefSeq and is a predicted model, not a curated record. The transcript is spliced from 25 exons. NCBI's taxonomy places the organism in Eukaryota, Metazoa, Chordata, Actinopteri, Clupeiformes, Clupeidae.
GAGGGCUUCAGUUUCGUCUGCUCUGACGCAAGAUACUUUAGUUCUACAGCCGACUACAAGCAGCUACCUCGUUGUUUCACUCAAUCACAUAUUUUUUUACUAAUUACGGUUUGAUUUCAUAUGGUCGCUGAAUCCUACUUUGAAGAACGAACGCGGUGUUAAACACUGUUCACGUUGCCCCUGACAUGUCACAGAAGUUCCAACGUUAAUGUUAGAGUUGCGGUAUCUGCCACACCAUACAAACAUUGCAGACAAACAAGCUAACGUUAGCAAGUUGGCGGAGUUCAGGCCACAUCAACAGGGAAACUGAAUUAAGUUUACCUCAAAGCUCACAGGUACAGUGAUAAGCAUUACAUACUUUGCUGUAAACUGGGGAUACCAUGUUACGACUCAUUAGACCCCAGAACCAGAGCUUGAGGGGCUGGCAUUGUAGUCAGAAGCGUUACAAUCACCACAAAUAUGUGAUGGCCAUCCGCCGCGAGGACAUCAAUGUGUGGGAGCGCCGCGCCCCCCUCGCCCCACGCCAUGUGAAGGAGAUUACUGCCGUAGGGCACAAAGUGCUGGUGCAGCCCUCCAACAGACGGGCCAUCCAUGAGAAAUACUACGAAAGAGCUGGGGCCGUCAUCCAGGAGGACAUCUCCGAGGCAUCUCUCAUCAUCGGGGUCAAGAGACCACCUGAGGAGGGGGUGUACCCUCAUAAGACAUAUGCCUUCUUCUCUCAUACCAUCAAAGCACAAGAGGCAAAUAUGGGCCUUCUUGAUGACCUUCUCAAAAAGGAAGUCCGCCUGAUUGACUAUGAGAAGAUGGUGGAUCCCAACGGCUUCCGUAUUGUUGCCUUUGGUCAGUGGGCAGGUGUAGCAGGUAUGAUUAAUAUCCUACAUGGCCUAGGACUGCGCUUCCUUGCCUUGGGACAUCACACACCGUUUAUGCAUAUUGGGAUGGCACACAACUACAGAAAUGUCAGUCAGGCCGUACAGGCAGUGAGAGACUGUGGGUACGAGAUCUCUCUUGGCCUCAUGCCCAAGUCUAUUGGCCCUCUUACCUUUGUCUUUACUGGAACAGGCAAUGUCUCCAAGGGUGCACAAGAAAUCCUUAACGAGCUUCCCUGUGAAUAUGUGGAGCCCCAUGAAUUGAAGGACGUUUCUUUAUCAGGAGACAUGACAAAAGUGUAUGCCACUGUUCUCAGUCGCCACCAUCACCUGAUCAGGAAAAGCGAUGCCCUUUAUGACCCACUGGAAUAUGAGCAUCACCCCGAGCGCUACACCUCCCACUUCAGAGUCAGCGUGGCCCCAUAUGCCACGUGUCUGAUAAAUGGGAUCUACUGGGACCCUCAUACCCCCAGGUUGCUCCGCCGGCUUGAUGCCCAGAGGCUCAUGCGACCCAUCAAGCCCUCUGCCCAUGCCACUGAGGGCUCACCUGGGCUGCCCCACAAGCUGCUGGCCAUCUGUGACAUCUCGGCAGACACAGGAGGCUCCAUCGAGUUCAUGACUGAGUGCACCACCAUUGAUAAGCCAUUCUGUAUGUAUGACGCAGACCAACAUAUAGACCACGACAGCGUGGAAGGCAACGGCAUCCUCAUGUGCUCCAUUGAUAACUUACCUGCUCAAAUGCCUAUUGAGGCCACAGAGUACUUUGGAGACCGAUUGUUCCCCUACAUUUGGGAGAUGCUGCCUUCAGAUGCAACUAGACCACUUGAUGAAGAGGACUUUUCCCCACAAGUGAAAGACGCAGUGAUAACAACUAACGGGAAACUAGCUCCGAAGUUUGAAUACAUUGAGAAACUUAGAGAAAGAAGGGAAUCGGAGCAGAUCCUGAAGAAAGGCGGAAUGAAGCGAGUUCUGUUGCUGGGCUCCGGAUAUGUGUCUGGACCGGUCAUUGAGUACCUGACCCGGAACCCUGGCACUCAGGUCACCGUAGCCUCGGUGCUGCUGAGCCAGGCGGAGGAGCUGGCCAGUAAAUACCCCAACACCAUCCCCGUCAUGCUGGACGUGACCAGCCAGGAGGGCCACAUGGAGUCCCUCAUCAAAGACCAUGACCUGGUGAUCAGUAUGCUGCCGUAUGGGUAUCACCCGGUUGUGGCCAAGCACUGCAUCAAGAAGAAGGUGAACCUGGUCACCGCCAGCUACCUGAGCCCAGCCAUGAAGGAGCUGCAGCAGAGUGCUGAGGAGGCUGGGAUCACCAUAGUGAAUGAGAUGGGACUGGACCCUGGCAUCGACCACAUGCUGGCUAUGGAGUGCAUUGACCAGGCCAAGGCAGACGGAGCCACUGUGGAAUACUACACCUCCUUCUGUGGGGGUCUGCCGGCCCCAGAGUGCUCAGACAACCCGCUGCGCUACAAGUUCAGCUGGAGCCCCUACGGCGUCCUCCUCAACACCAUCAGCCCAGCCAUCUUCCUCAAGGACAAUGAGGUGAUCACUGUGCCAGCAGGAGGCUCCCUGAUGGAGUCCACCGUGCCCAUGGACUUCUUGCCGGGCUUCAGCCUGGAGGGCUUCCCCAACCGCGACAGCACCAAGUACGCCGAGCCCUACGGCAUCCAGGCCGCCCACACGCUCAUCAGGGGGACGCUGCGCUUCAGGGGCUUCACGCGGGCGAUGAGUGGGUUUGUGAAGCUGGGCCUGAUCAACACAGAGCCGUGCCCCAUGCUGCACCACACGGCUGUGCCCGUGUCCUGGAGAGCCCUGCUGUGCCAGCAGAUCGGCCUGCCCUCGUCCGUUGGGGAUGACGCCUUUCAGGAGGCCGUGUACGAGCGCAUCGACAAGGACGACUUCCGCAUGGAAAUGUUGAAAUGGUUUGGGAUGCUAAGUGAAGAGGCAGUGCCCCAUGCUGACAGCAUCCUGGGAGCAGUGGCUAAGCACCUGGAGGCCAGGCUGGCUUUUGACAAGGGCGAGCGAGACAUGAUCAUCAUGAGAAACGACGUGGGCAUCAGGCACUCUUCAGGAGAGCUGGAGACCAAGCACAUCGGCCUGGUGGUGUACGGCGAGCCCAGCGGCUUCUCUGCCAUGGCUAAAACAGUGGGCUAUCCGGCUGCCAUCGCUGCUCAGAUGGUUCUUAAUGGUGAAAUCACAACAAAAGGGCUUGUGGUGCCGAUGACCAAGGACAUCUACGGUCCUGUUCUCACCAGACUGAAGGAGGAGGGCCUCCAGUUCACCACCAAGAGCACCCUCAUAGAGUAACCCAGUGGGAAGCCACUCUCAUUAACACACAUGUCCACAUCAAAGGGAGAGACCGACCACACGCCCAGCAUAUUGCUCCUUUCACCACACCGCCUAUCCACACAGCCAGAUAAGAGCGCUCUAUGUCAGCCUUAUCCCUCUAGGGAACUCCCACAUAUUCAUCUCCUCAUUUCCAUGCUGCCUUCUUUGAGUUUCCCCCAAACAGACAAAUAGAAAAGACAGACCUGUAUCACAGGGCACUAGAGACAGCAGAAUAGCUGGCACACCUGGAGACUGACAAACAGCUUUGCAGAAUUUAGUCCGUCUGAUUAGAGGGAUACAACCAGAAAACAUUGAUUUUGCGUUUCACUACAAGUACGCUUCCAGUGAUGAACACGGGUCAUAUUUAUAAAAUUAAUAUUUAAGCCUUUUGAGUCAAAGUCAAAUCCAGAUACCACUUGUCAAUUAAAAUACAGUGUACAUUCUUUAUCAAAUACUGUUCAAAGGAGAAAUCCAGCGAUUUUUCACAUUGAUCUCUGUUUCUCGAGGUCAUCGAGUACUGUCUGUACGGAAAAAAAAGAAAACAAUCAGUUUUACCGAACUCGAGCUGCUAGUUCCAACAGCCAAAGUAACCAGGCAGCUACUGUGCAGUACUCUGUGCCCUUGAGAAACGAAGAUCUGUGUGAAAAAUGGCUAGAUUUCUCCUUUAAGAAGACAUUAAAUAGGAUUUAUACUAGUGGCCCUGUUUUAUUAACCCAGCAGAUCUGAUUAACAUACAGUAAGAUAGCAAGAUGUCAAGUCCCUGUUGAGCAGGCGUUUCAGUUUGACAUUCAUUUGACCUUUUCCAAAUGAAUGUCUACAGAUCACAUAUGUCUGUGUCUUUGUAUUUUGUCGGGGGAAAUUCUCCAAGUUCUCUGAAUAUUUUUUAAGGUCAAAAACUCAAGCUCACAGUGUUUGUGCUAAGAGAUUUUAAAGCAAAGCUCUUUAGAUUUAUCUGAAGUAGAUUCAGAAUAAGUAUUUUUGACACCAUAUUAGAAUUUACAAUUAAAAUGAAUUUCAAGCAUUUGAAACUUUUUACAAUGUAAAAUAUCAUUGGAUCGUGUUAUAUGGUGAAUAUGUGGGAUAAAUUUUAUGUUUUUCAUUGUAUUAACCAUUUAAACUCUUGUAUUAACCAUUUACUAUAGCUGACUUAUAGAAUGAACUUUAGGUGCCAUCCUGGCUUUAGGAAUGUGAAGAUAGCCAGAACCCUUGCUGUGGCAAUGUGAGGAUGGUGGCCCCUUGGUGACCCCAUGAAACACAAACAUGGUUUAGGUUGAUGAGUUCUUGUAAACAUCCUUAUCUCUGUUAAUCACCAGGUGGUUAAAGACUCACUAAAGUGAUCUAGUGAUUUUCCAUGUGUGUGUGUGUUAGGAGUAUAAGAACUGACUUCACCCACAGAUGUGUGGGCUUGUUACUUUGACUUCGUGUGGGUAACAUGCUCCCGGUAUCGUGAAUAAAGCUGCAGUCUCACACCAGUUGUCUUGGAAUAAUUUUGACCACAUAUUUGGCGACGAGGAUGGGAUUACCUAUCUCUGAGGCAUAGCGAGGAGGACCAACGGCGCAGGACCCAACAAUACCAGCUGGAGGGAGAUCUCUUUGUGAUCUUGGGAGAAGGCCGUCAACAGCAACCAAUACUGCUCAGCGGCACCCAGCCUGGCCAGAGGGAAUCCUCCUGUGACUCGGAUACGGUAACACCCGUGUUUGGUGGUCACAGACAACUUGGUGGUGGCGUCGGCCCUUCCACAAAAUUUCCAGAGGACACACCCAGUUGAGCCAGGAGCGUGGGUACUCAUCAAAGAUUUGAGAAGGAAACAUUGGAAUCAGGAACGCUGGAGAGGACCUUUUGAAGUACUACUAUCUACACCUACAGCCGUAAGGAUUGCGGAAAGAGACACUUGGGUCCAUUUGUCACACUGCAGAGUGGUGAAGGAUCCAGAACACUACAUGGACUGAACUGAAUAUCAUAACCAACAAGUGGUGGUACGAGAGGAUUGACAAACAUUGCUUGCAGGCUGAAGAAUACAGACAUUAAAGGAGACUACUAAAAUUCAUUAGCACCAUAUACAAUAGUUUGUCUCAGUUUAGCUAGAUAAACGUUACAAGUUUGUUAUUUUUGUUUAAUUUUAUUUGGACAGUAACCUGAGGAGGGCCUAAAAAACCCAAGUCAGCUCUGCUGUUGAAGAUUAGGAUUAGGUUUUAUUUUUGGUUUUGAAUAACUGAGAGAACAGAAAAUGUUGGUGUUACUGUUGCUUAUUAUUCACCUAAGGGUUAUAUCAGCCUCCCUCAGGGAAGAAGUUUGUGGUAGCAAUAAAGCCUGCGAGUUAGCCUUCCGUGCCAAAACAACGUUAACAGGAAAUAAUGAUACAUGUUGGGUAUGUCAAGAAAAAGCUUUUCAGAUGCGUGUGUUUCCCUACAGGACAUUUCAGGACUCAGUUUGUGCUGCUGCUCGACUAUGUACCAGCCCUCAGUGUCUUUCAGAAGUGGGGUUAGAAAACAUAGAAAAAUUCCUGCAUGGCUCAUCUUUGAAUAUCAUGUUAACCUUAAUGGAUUCAGUAUGGUUAAAUGAAACAAGAGAAGGGUCGAAGAGAAAGUUAGGAUGGAUUAAUUCAGAUGUAAAUGCAAAGUAUAGCAACUAUUGGCCUGUUCCGAGCACAAAGGGUCAAGCUACGCCUCAAGCAGCAAAACCUUAUACUGUUUGCAAUAAUAGUGGAUUUCCUUUAAGGGAGUCUGGAUGGAACCUUGAAACUACACAGGUGUCAGUUACUAAAGGAUUUGUGUGCUUAUCUGUUAAGUCCCCCAAAGAAGAUAACAUCAUUAGGAAACAAUUAGGACAUAGUAAAUGCCAAUAUUAUCUCAAAGCAAUGUAUGAUCAACCAGACUCUUCUGCCACACAGAGUGAACCUGGUAUUUGGCUAGGAGGAAAUUAUUUUCCUCUAGUGAGGUAUAGCAGUGUUCCAAGUCCAAACUUCAAUUUUGCGCUUCCCAUGGGCAUGUAUUGGGUAUGUGGUAAAAUGGCAUAUUCUUACUGGCCUACAAAUGCUGUAGGAACGUGUUACAUAGCUGCUAUUGCGCCGACAAUUUGGAUUUUACAGGAAAAACAGUCUAAUCAACAACAUUCUACUGAACAUCCCCAUAGAGAGAAAAGAGAGAUGUCUUAUACUUCAGGAGGUAUGAGUAAAUGGAAAGGAUAUGUUAUAGCAGAUCCAUGGACGGGACAGGGAAAUACUGUGGGUUUGACUUUUUCUUUGUGGGGUGGUGUAGUGGCAGCAUUACAGAAAAUCAAUGGCCUAGCUUAUCACCUGCAAAGUCUAGCAAAUGAAACAGCAUUUGCACUGUCUAUGUUAAAUGAAGAAGUAAGAGCUAUGCGAACUGAACUUAUAGCCCAUAGAAUGGCCUUAGAUUUGCUGUUAGCUGAGCAAGGUGGUCUGUGUCAGGUGGUGGAGACCUCAUGUUGCUUUUUAGUGCCCGAUGAGUAUAACAAUGUCACCCAAUACGUUGAAGGUAUAAGAAAGGCUAUGCCUGAUCCUCCACCACUUUCAGCUUUUGAUAUGUUCCUUGAAGAUUUUGAAACAAGAUUUGGUACAACUGCCUCCAAAAUCCUGACGAUGAUGUUAAAAAUUGGAUUACCUUUCCUUGUCCCUGUGGUGAUUUUCCUUGUGAUACUUUUUAUAGGGAAGUUCAUAUUAGCUUGUGUCAUUAGAGCUCUGAACAAACGGACCACAGUGGCAAGUUAUGUUAAUGCGAGUAAACCUCACAAAAAGAAUUACAGGUCUCAAGGCUUCGGGCCAACUGGACCUUAUGAAGAUAUCUUUCCAUUCAGAGAAGUGCCGAAUAUUGAAAUAGAGGAAACAUGUUAGUAACAGAAGUGUAAAAUGAGUCUGACCCUGUUUUAAAUACCUGGUUUAUUUUUUAUUUUUUAUUUUCUUGUGUUUUCUUUUCCAUUUGUAAUAUGGAUUUAAAACGUCAAUAAUCACAUAGCCAUAGAAAGUAACUUGUUACUAUGUUUUUCAAUGUGAUUAACUCUUAUAGCCAAUUGUAAUGUUGAUUCAUGUAGUUGCAUAUAUAUCAUUGUAUUAGGGAUGUAGCUUCAUAGCUCCACAGGGGGGAAUAUGUGGGAUAAAUUUUAUGUUUUUCAUUGUAUUAACCAUUUAAACUCUUGUAUUAACCAUUUACUAUAGCUGACUUAUAGAAUGAACUUUAGGUGCCAUCCUGGCUUUAGGAAUGUGAAGAUAGCCAGAACCCUUGCUGUGGCAAUGUGAGGAUGGUGGCCCCUUGGUGACCCCAUGAAACACAAACAUGGUUUAGGUUGAUGAGUUCUUGUAAACAUCCUUAUCUCUGUUAAUCACCAGGUGGUUAAAGACUCACUAAAGUGAUCUAGUGAUUUUCCAUGUGUGUGUGUGUUAGGAGUAUAAGAACUGACUUCACCCACAGAUGUGUGGGCUUGUUACUUUGACUUCGUGUGGGUAACAUGCUCCCGGUAUCGUGAAUAAAGCUGCAGUCUCACACCAGUUGUCUUGGAAUAAUUUUGACCACAAUAACUAGUGGCAUAAGCAGCUGUUCUUCUUGGCACCCAGCCUUUGUUAACCCUUUCCAUGUUUCUGAGCACUUUAUGCAAUAAUGACGGUUAGAACAACCAUGUGUUCCCACAGAGAUGUGAAAUAAAAAAUCACAGAAUGUUGACACUGGAAAUGUCAGACUGGUCACAUACAGUUCUGGGGAAAAAAUGAAGAGACCACUGCACGGAUUUCUGAUGUCACCCUACAGUUGCCAAGUGACAUUUGAAUAAGUUGACGGUCGCACUGUAUUUAAAUUUGCAAUGAUCUCUUCAUUUUGAAUAUGACUGUCAACUCAUUCGAAUGACAUUAGAAAAAUGUGCAGUGGUCUCUUCAUUAUAUCCAGAGCUGUACGUAUUGUCAGGGGGGUGAAUGGAUGUAGACAUGACUGGUCAUGAGCAUGAAACUGUAAAAGUAUUUUCUUUUUGUAAAGCAUAGUGUGUCCCACUAGACUGUGAUGGGCCAGAUGAAAUGGCCAUUAGCAAGACAACAAUGCAGCAGAGGGUCCCUCCUUUAUCACACUGAAAGUUCCCUCACAAGGCCACGGUGGCCAUCUGCCAUUAUGCUCAUUAUUGCAACAAGUACAAUAGUCCCUCUUACUACUGCUGUUAUUCAAGGUGUUGACAAUUGGUCAUUUGCAAUCUAUCAUAAGUGUUUAGUGAAAUGUAUAAAUAAAGUAUUUAUAUUUGGA